Molecule: ribosomal RNA, 476 nt
Filed under: Salmonella enterica subsp. houtenae serovar 44:z36[z38]:-
Lineage: Bacteria; Pseudomonadati; Pseudomonadota; Gammaproteobacteria; Enterobacterales; Enterobacteriaceae
Description: partial 23S ribosomal RNA
Rfam family: Bacterial large subunit ribosomal RNA
Source: RNAcentral
GGGUAGUUUGACUGGGGCGGUCUCCUCCUAAAGAGUAACGGAGGAGCACGAAGGUUGGCUAAUCCUGGUCGGACAUCAGGAGGUUAGUGCAAUGGCAUAAGCCAGCUUGACUGCGAGCGUGACGGCGCGAGCAGGUGCGAAAGCAGGUCAUAGUGAUCCGGUGGUUCUGAAUGGAAGGGCCAUCGCUCAACGGAUAAAAGGUACUCCGGGGAUAACAGGCUGAUACCGCCCAAGAGUUCAUAUCGACGGCGGUGUUUGGCACCUCGAUGUCGGCUCAUCACAUCCUGGGGCUGAAGUAGGUCCCAAGGGUAUGGCUGUUCGCCAUUUAAAGUGGUACGCGAGCUGGGUUUAGAACGUCGUGAGACAGUUCGGUCCCUAUCUGCCGUGGGCGCUGGAAGAUUGAGGGGGGCUGCUCCUAGUACGAGAGGACCGGAGUGGACGCAUCACUGGUGUUCGGGUUGUCAUGCCAAUGGCAC